AUUGCUUCUCGGCCUUUUGGCUAAGAUCAAGUGUAGUAAAUAAUCAGCACUAAAGGAAAGCAGACAUGGCAGAGGGCUAAGAACUAAGAAUCACGUUCUAAUGUAAAUUCUCCUACUUGCUAAUUUGGCAAGUUAUUUACUUUUUUGGGCAACAUUUCUUUGCCAAUAAAAUGACAUGUU
This is a small nuclear RNA of Oryctolagus cuniculus (rabbit), 180 nucleotides long. Its record names the gene U2. It matches the Rfam family "U2 spliceosomal RNA". From Rfam's summary of the family: U2 is a small nuclear RNA (snRNA) component of the spliceosome (involved in pre-mRNA splicing). The record is from Ensembl. NCBI's taxonomy places the organism in Eukaryota, Metazoa, Chordata, Mammalia, Lagomorpha, Leporidae.